UGCAGUCGAGCGAGAUCUUCGGAUCUAGCGGCGGACGGGUUAGUAACGCGUGGGAACGUACCCAAAGGUAGGGAAUAGCCACUGGAAACGGUGAGUAAUACCCUAUGUGCCCUUCGGGGGAAAGAUUUAUCGCCUUUGGAUCGGCCCGCGUUAGAUUAGAUAGUUGGUGGGGUAACGGCCUACCAAGUCUACGAUCUAUAGCUGGUUUUAGAGGAUGAUCAGCAACACUGGGACUGAGACACGGCCCAGACUCCUACGGGAGGCAGCAGUGGGGAAUCUUGGACAAUGGGGGCAACCCUGAUCCAGCCAUGCCGCGUGAGUGAUGAAGGCCUUAGGGUCGUAAAGCUCUUUCGCCUGUGAAGAUAAUGACUGUAGCAGGUAAAGAAACCCCGGCUAACUCCGUGCCAGCAGCCGCGGUAAUACGGAGGGGGUUAGCGUUGUUCGGAAUUACUGGGCGUAAAGCGCGCGUAGGCGGACUGGAAAGUUGGGGGUGAAAUCCCGGGGCUCAACCCCGGAACUGCCUCCAAAACUAUCAGUCUAGAGUUCGAGAGAGGUGAGUGGAAUUCCGAGUGUAGAGGUGAAAUUCGUAGAUAUUCGGAGGAACACCAGUGGCGAAGGCGGCUCACUG
RNAcentral lists this ribosomal RNA (628 nucleotides) under uncultured bacterium. RNAcentral describes it as "bacterial SSU rRNA". It matches the Rfam family "Bacterial small subunit ribosomal RNA", at positions 56 to 731 of the family's 1533-position model. The record is from RNAcentral.